GAGAGAGCGCUGAGGUGACGAGAGACUGGGAACUGAGGUCUUCCGGUCUGAGGUGCUGAGGUCUCAGGAUCGAGGGAUGAAAGAGAAGAGGUUAAGAAAAAACAUGAACCCAGUAGCAAGGCAGUACUAAAGGCU
This 135-nucleotide long non-coding RNA is filed under the name Cyanistes caeruleus (blue tit). RNAcentral describes it as "lncRNA (ENSCCEG00000012600.1)". The record is from RNAcentral. Lineage: Eukaryota; Metazoa; Chordata; Aves; Passeriformes; Paridae.